RNAcentral lists this transfer RNA (74 nucleotides) under Aureispira sp. RNAcentral's name for it is "tRNA-Arg". It matches the Rfam family "tRNA". From Rfam's summary of the family: Transfer RNA (tRNA) molecules are approximately 80 nucleotides in length. RNAcentral also lists the same sequence under 2 other names. Lineage: Bacteria; Pseudomonadati; Bacteroidota; Saprospiria; Saprospirales; Saprospiraceae. The record is from RNAcentral.
GGCUCGAUAGCUCAGCUGGAUAGAGCAUCUGCCUUCUAAGCAGACGGUCACAGGUUCGAAUCCUGUUCGAGUCA